RNA transcript from Ananas comosus (pineapple), 3908 nucleotides. RefSeq lists it as uncharacterized. The transcript is spliced from 4 exons. NCBI's taxonomy places the organism in Eukaryota, Viridiplantae, Streptophyta, Magnoliopsida, Poales, Bromeliaceae. The record is from RefSeq and is a predicted model, not a curated record.
AUCACAAGUCCCCAACCUCCCCCUCCGUUCCUUUCUCUUUUUUUUUUUCCGAAAAAAAAAUAAAUUAAUUAAAAUUUUUAGUAACUAAUUAGUAUUUUUCUUAGCUCACCUUUUUUCUUGUUCUCCACCACCACCUCCUCUCUCUCUCUCUCUCUCUUCAAGAUUCCUCUCUUCUCUUCGACGAAGCUAUCUCCCCCAUGGCGGUGGACUUGGAGAGCUUCUCGAUCCGGGAGUUCGCGGCGAAGAUGAGGAACUUGGAUUUGGGGGGGAGCUGGCCCUUCGAAGGCGUGGGGAAAGAGGGAGUCGAAGCUCGAGCUCUGCCCCCGAUCUCCGCUCGGAGGUUCCGGUGGUGGUCCGACGAGCUCGACGCCGCUCGAUCGAGGGAGGCGGCGGCAGCUAGGGCUGACGUGGACGGCUCCGAUCGCCUCGGCGAGGAACCCGCGGUCGAAACCCUAGCCGAGAAGCCGCUUUUGGAUGGGGAGGAGGAGGAAGAGAGGCCGAUGAGAGCUUCUUGGAGGAGCAAGCAAAGGGCGCCGAAGAAGAAGAGGUCGAUCGCGGAGAUCUUCGCGCUCUCGCCGUUGAUCGAGGGCGUCGAGGAAGAAUCCGACGGCUGUGAUGGAGACGACGUAGGAGGCGAACGCGAGAGAGACGCUGAGGGAGGAGGCGGAGGCGUAGGACGAGAUCUGGGAACUGAGACGAGAGAGAGAGACGACGAAGAAGCUUCUAGAAAAGGAAAAGAAUCGGCGAAAGACGAGGAGAGGAUCGAAAAUAGUUCAAGAAAGAUCGAAAAAAAGAGAACAAAUAAGAAAAAAUCGAAGAUAAAUAAGAAGCUGAAAAUGGGGAUCUCCGUUUCCGAAAAGCUUAAAGUUCAAGAAGGAAAGCUUGUUCACUUACACAAAAGGAAGCCAGGAAAAAUUCGAUCUCUACCAAAGAAGCAGAAGCUGAAUUAUACUCGAAAUGCAAAAUUGAAGCUUAAAAACCUGGAGGAGGUAGUCAGGACUUUACCUGUACGUCGCAGGCUUAAGAAACAGACACAGAGUGCUUCUAUGAAAAAGACAAAGGGGACAAAAAUUUGUAGUGAAUCCGCUAAAAGUGUUAGUUCUUCAGGAGUUGAUGGCUCAAAGGAUGGUAAAACAUGUCGCUCUUUCGAGCUGCCUCAACUGAAAAGCCUUUGUGACAUAUUUUAUGGUGCAUUGGCUGCAUCAUCAGCUGAGGACACUUCCCAAAAAGGUUCCAAGGGCUUCACUGGCAGUCUGGAAUCCCAGGUGAAAAAUAUAAGGGACAAAGAUGCUGUUUCAAAAUCUGUAGGCAGGAAAGAUGGAGCCUUCUCUGAUAAGAAGUAUGCUGAUUCCCUUUUGUCUAUUGAUUCCCAAAGCGAUUUUCUGGGCACAGAAGGUAAUUUGUUGACUGAGCCUGUAGAUUUAAAUCAGAAGUAUGCUGGUGAACCAAGUGCGCUGAAUCCUGUUCGUGAAUUGAAUUUGAAUUCUGAUUCUGAGAUGAGUCUUCUUGGUGAGACAAGACUACAAAUUACAUCUGAUGCUGCAAAAGAACCACCAGUUUCAAUUGAGAAUUGUGUUCCAAAUUCAGAUACAGUAAGUUCGUUGUCUCUGCUAGGUGAUUGGAGUUCAGCACUCUUGACUUCUCAUCCACAACGGGGUAUGGAAGCAACUAAGUUGGAUUCGUGUAAUUCCAAGAGAUUCGGAAAUUUGAGAACUCCAUUAGAUCAAUGUUUUCCCUCUCGAGACAGAAGGAUUCAUGAGGAAUUCAACGGUUUGCCUCUACGCUUUAGUGGAGAACUUAUCCAGUUAGCCUCAAGUUCUGGUUCCGCUUAUAAUGAAUCCCUUAAGAAGCAAAUGCUUUAUCCUGUUUAUAGCACUAUACUAUCUAAUCAUGUUGAGUUGAUGAAUGACCAGCCAAAAAUGAAAGGGAAUAUUUCUAGCGCAUCACUUGAGGAGAUAGGCCGUCCAAAUAAGUUGCUGGAACAGCUGUCCGCUGCUGCAGAAACAGCAACAUCUGAAUUGGGGUUUACCGGCUUUCGAAAUUUCGGAAAAUCAGAAGCACGAAACCAUGAGUCAAAUAAUAAAAUUUGGCUUUCUCAAUCUCACUCAUAUCAAUCAGAGGUUUCAGGUUGUCGGUGCAGCGAAACUAGUAGAACUCAAAAUUGCAUCAAUGGAGAGAAAUCGAUAUGCGAGUUUCAGCCUCCUAUGGGACAAACGAUGCGCUUGAUGGGCCAAAAUGUGACAGUUGGGAGACAGAGCAAAGAACAUGAAGCUUCUAUUGAAGGGAAGGUAUGGACAGAUAAGGAAAUAAUUCUGGAAAGUCGCCCCUCAGUAAGACCAUCUGAUAUAUCCAGCCCAAAUGGAUGGCCUGAAGGGGGACCAAUUCACUCCGUAGCUCUAUCAGAAGCAGACGGUUUAUUAAAGCAAAGCUUUUUCCGUCCAGUAGAAGCUCCACCAAGCUUUUAUAGAAUGGCAGCAUCUGGUACUACUUUCCGGCAAGUGCAACUUAAACACCAAGAUGAAUCGAUAUUGAAAAGCGGAAAUUCCUCAGAAAUUGGGAACUACGGUUACAACACAAAUCUCUGUAGCCAUUCUUUUUCUCCACACGGUUCUAACUUUGGAUAUCUGAAUGGUGGAAUGGGUAAUUCAAGUUCUACCCAUUACAAACAUAGCAGAAGUGUAUGCUGCAGCACACGAUCUUUCAACCCCCCUAUUCCUAAUCAUGAUUAUACUAGCUUUGCUCGUGAUUCAACAGCUCACUCUCCAGCGUGUCUUCCUCACUGGCUGUUAAAUGCAAUACAACAAAGGGAAAUGCAAGAGCCUUCUUGUCUUUGCAAUGAUGCUGCCGGUUUACAGGGACCAUGUACAAUUCCAGGAUCAAAAAUUUUUCCCCUCGCCCGUACAUUUCGUCCUUCCUUAAUAUCUUUUCCUAUUUUCAGUUUCAAUAUAUCCCCCGCGUACGGCAUACAUGCUCCAGCUCCGUUUGUCCACCCUUCGUGUGUACCUUUAGCUGAUACAUCCUGCAAGAUGAAAACAAGGGUUGGCACGCAAUACGUAAGUAGAAAAAGGCAUGCAGAGAUGGAUGAUAGAUUCACGAAAACGGUGAAAAAGCCUAACCUGAGUACAUGCGCAGAGUUAAACACGCCAAAAGAACAGGGAAGUGUAGGAGAGCUGGAUCCUUCUGCACAAAAUGUCACAGAAGUAUCGAACCACCAUGCGAACAAGCAGAACAAUUGGCAUUGACAGGUGUAUUUAUGUUUACGCCUAAUUUUGACAGUAGAUCAGGAAGAUGGAAUUUAGUUUUAGAAUGAACUCAUGAUCUGAGGUGGAUGUUUUCAAGAUGUUGUUAUUAUAUUUGUAAGCUGUAACACAUAUUUGACUUGACUGGAGUUCUGUUGUUGAAGCAUGCUCGUGAGUCGUAGUCAGAUGCAAACUGUUAAAGAAUUGUGGAAGGAGAUGAGGGAGCAUCCUCUCCUCUGUACACCUCAUGAAAUUAUGGCACAAGACAAGCAAAUUCUGGGGCCACUCUGACUUGCUUUCCUAGCUCUGCCCGUGGUGAGCUAAAUAUCCACCGCGAACAUGGUACUCCAUAUUGUUACCAGAAAAAGAAACAACAAAGAAAAAGAAAAAAUGCUUACAACGACUGCAACAUCAAAGUAGUACUGAUGUUUGAAAAGCUGAGAUGGAAAGGCACCUCAAACGUGUUACAUCAUCAUCUAUUGCGAAAGCUACUGAAGCUGGUCUAUCACGUGAUGAGUGCAAUGUCUCUUCUACUUCUCAACCAGGUGUAGAAGGUGGUGAUAAACCUCUCACGUAGUGUGUCGAUCUGGCCCAAUUUGUUUUGUCAAAGCUCUCUUAUUCGCAAACUUUGAACACCCAAUAUAUAUUUAUACAUUAUUUUUUUAUAAA